This 79-nucleotide small RNA is filed under the name Mycobacterium tuberculosis H37Rv. RNAcentral describes it as "npcR 6044". The record is from RNAcentral. Lineage: Bacteria; Bacillati; Actinomycetota; Actinomycetes; Mycobacteriales; Mycobacteriaceae.
GUCGACGAUCCCACGGACCAGAUGCUCAACAGCGUCAACGACGACGGCGCUCAUUUCCCCGUCAGCUUUCCGCCGUCAG